CCUAAAAUUUAUAUGGAACCACAAAGGACCUCGAAUAGCCAAAGCAGUUGUAAUAAAGAAGAACAAAACCUGAGGCAUCACACUCUUAUUUCAACCCAUGUUAAAAAGCUAUAGUAAACAAAACAGUAUGGUAUUGGAAUAAAAACAGACACAUAGAUCAAUGGAAUGGAAUAGAGAUCCCAAAAAUAAGCCCAUGCAUAUGUAGUCUACUAAUUUUUAAGAAA
Lynx canadensis (Canada lynx) is the source of this 224-nucleotide long non-coding RNA. RefSeq lists it as uncharacterized. The record is from RefSeq and is a predicted model, not a curated record. NCBI's taxonomy places the organism in Eukaryota, Metazoa, Chordata, Mammalia, Carnivora, Felidae. The transcript is spliced from 3 exons.